CCCUUGGAUGUCCUGGGCUGCACGCGCGCUACACUGAUGUGUCCAGUAAGCACCUAACCUCUUCCGAAAGGAACGGGUAACCUUUGCAAAGCACAUCGUGAUGGGGAUAGAUUAUUGCAAUUAUUAGUCUUGAACGAGGAAUUCCUAGUAAGCACAAGUCAUCAGCUUGUGUUGAUUACGUCCCUGCCCUUUGUACACACCGCCCGUCGCUCCUACCGAUUGAAUGUUCCGGUGAGCUCUUCGGACUGCGCGGUCUGCAGUUUCUGCGUUCCGUGCGGAAAGUUGCGCAAACCUUAACAUUUAGAGGAAGGAGAAGUCGUAACA
Molecule: ribosomal RNA, 324 nt
Filed under: uncultured eukaryote
Lineage: Eukaryota
Description: partial 18S ribosomal RNA
Rfam family: Eukaryotic small subunit ribosomal RNA
Source: RNAcentral